UGUGAGCCGCUGUGCCCAGGCCAAUCCCAGAGAUUUUGAAGAUGAUUUCUCGAUACGAGUUUCACGAAGACUUGAAAAGAAUGUGUCCUCUGUUGUUGGAUGGAGUGUCCUUGAAAUGUUCAUUAGCCUUCUAGCUCCAUUCAGAAGAGCCUCCGAAGUAGAGACCAGAAAUCCUUCUAGUGGGCUGUGCUUUGAGCAGUACUGCUUGUUGACUGCUUUACUUGGAAGGAGAGAUCGACUGAGGUAAGGCUCUUACUAAUGCACGUGCUUUGCUAAUGGUUUGGCCAGAUGAUCAAAAAUGUGGAAGGGGUAAGAUUCAAGGAUUGGUGACAAGGAAGUUUAGAAUAACAGAGAUGUGGAUGGGCCUCCUAGAAUGACCAAAGAAUAUGAGAAUAUUUAUGUUUCAUGUGAACAUUCAUCAAGCUCCUAUUGGUAGUCAGGUAGACAGGUAGACAAGGUGGUCUACUUUGAGGAUGCUGAUUAAUCUCUUCCUCCAGUGACGCAGGGUUUGCUCAGUGGGCUCAUGGACAGAGUGGCCCUGAUGGCUCAGUGGAGGGCUUGGUAUAGGCUUAGCCACAUGGACUCACCAAGACUAACCUGGUUACAGCCGUUGUUGAAUGCCCAACAUUCUACAGCAGAAACCAACCCUGAGCUCCUGACUUGGUGCCAUACCGUGGGGGGACCAACCUGCUGCUUCAGGCCCGGGAAAGAAGUGGACAAGACUCUGCUCUCUUCAUGGAACCGAGUAUUCUAAGGACACAGCCAAGUCAGGAGACUACACCCCUAGUAUAAUAAGUCCUGUGGCUGUACUGAGAAGAGGUCCUGACUCAGAACUGGAGGACAUCAUGGAAGGCUUCCUGGAGGAAGUGCCAUCUAGGCUGAAACCUAAAGGAUGAGUAGAACUAACCAGAUGAAAAGCACUGGAUUUGACUCAUCCCUGCAUCCCCCGAGCACCUCGUGGGUGCCGUAAAGGCAGCUGGGUUGAUGAUGACUGAGUGAAGGAGCGCCUGAGUGGAUGAGCCACUGAGUGAAUGAACUGGAGUUCAUCUUCCACGUGGUCCUCAGCAUCCACUCUAGAAGCCAAAGCCAAGGGCACUGAUGGAGCUUACAAAUGUGAUGGCGGAGGCUUGAUCUACAUGAACUACUUUGCAUAAGUACUUUGAAGAAUCAUGGGGAAACGGAGAGGAGUCAGAAGACUGCAAAAGAGCAAAUGUGGCUUCAAUUUUCAAAAACAGGAUAAAGGAUAGAUUUAGAAAGUACAAAGCCUGAGGGAUCUAAAGCCUUGGGACUUCUGGAUCUGCAAGUGGUCCCUGUUUUGGUAGCUAUUGACUGACGAGGGGCUCUUCGGUAAGUUCUGGGGUGGCAGUGGAGGUGAUGAUGGGAGGGUGUUACAGGGCUCCACAGGCUCUUACAGGGCUCGGGAGCUUAUUUAAGGGAACACCUUGAUUGUCCAUGUGUCGUGGGCCAGAGAAGAAAGGCAGCACUGUGGAUCUUCUGGGAGGAAAGGAGAGGCGUCGAUUUCUGACUCCAGUUUUCUAUGAUCAGCACAGACUCUGUCCCACCUCCUCCCUACAGAGCUUCUGGAUCCUGGAGGAUGGAGAAUAGGCUAAAUUGCACAGGCCAGCUCCAGUCCAUUGGCAGGGCUGCCUAGAACAUGGCUGUGAUGAUCCCAAAGCUCAAUAGCAGAGAACCCUGUGGGGUGCUAGGAGUGUCUGCCAGGGUGCCGCAGGGAAAGGGGAGCAUGUGUGUAGAUGUAGAAAGCAUCUCUGCCAUCCCCUCCCCUAAAGAAUAUAUAACAUGGCCAUGCAGAAAAACACUUGUGAAAGGAGCUGCUGCCCUCAGGACAGCGUGUCAUUGAAAUGGGGGCUGAGCAACCCGUCAGAAGAGUGGGGAGGAGGGACCAUCCUCCAGCCCCUUCCCAGCUCUCUUCUGGAGCCAUAAGCCACAACACUGUCUAUGAAAAAGCUGAGGCCUAGAGCAGAAGGAGUGCAAAAUCCCAGCUACUGCAGGCCUACGCCCAGUGGUUCUCAAAGUGUUGUCCUCAGUCUAGCAGCAUCAGUGUCACCUGAAAACUGGUUAGACAUCCAGGUUCUCAGUUGUUAUCCAGCUCUAGCAGAUGGGAAACGCUGGGGGCGGGACCAGCCAUCUGUGUUUAACAAGCCCCACAGGUGACUGCUGUAGCCUUGAGUGAGGACCUCGGCCAAAAAGAAGGCUCCUACCGUGGCUGUUUGCUGAUGGUCUUCGCAGAGCCUGCUGUCUUUGAGCUUCCUGAGAGAGGGACACUACCCUCGCUUAGCCUGGCAGUGUUGCCCAGGAGGAGGCAGUGGAGUUAAGAAGCCUGGGUCUGAGCUCCUCAGCUGUGCAGACAACUCCUACUUGUUCUUCAACGCUCAACUUUAAGUUCAGUCACCACCUGCAGAAGUCUUCUCCAAAACCUCCCCACCUGGCUGACUAAGGGGCUGGCUUUAUGCUCUUGCAGUACUCAUGCUUCCUACUGUCACAGUUCUGACCACACCGUGGGAAAACGUCUCUAACUAGAGACCUGUCUUGCCUCUUGUGCCUGUAGUACGGGAUGGGUGCCCAGUGUGUGUUGAUUGUAUGAAUCAAUCUCUGUGACUCCAGAGUUCCUUUCUUCAGGAGAUUAGACAUCACCCCUGCAAUCAACAAUGCAAGCCACUGCUGUUUCCUCCAUCCUGAGCAUGAGGAACCUAUCCAGUUUCUCUCUCAGAUGCCAGGGCCAUGAGGCAAGUCCAGCCUUGGCCUAGAACCAAAGAUGGAAACAAAAAGGGGCCAGACUGUGUUGCCUUCUUGAGCCUGGUCUGACUCCUGAGUGGAAGUCUGAUUCCAGGUACAUGAGAUAAGCACUAAUACCUCCAGUUUGCAGAUUAAGAGACUGAGGUCCUGAAGAGGUUAAAGAACUUGGCUCAAGUCACAUAGCUGGUGAGCAGCAAGAUACAAGAAUCAACCCAAGUCCAGGGGGCUGUGUGCCGUUUACACUUCACAUCUGUGCUGCCAGGGCUGUAGCUAUAAAAGCUUGAAAACCAUUACUCUGAGAAUCUCUCUGUUGGGAAAAUGAGUCCCUUCAACUCUAGUUGUUGCCACUGGGAUGCUAACAGAAAGCAAAGUCUCAGAGGAAAGAUGUGGCAUUCCUGAGUGUCUUCCAUGUACCAGGACUUCUAUUUGCUAGCCACUUUAUGUUCCUCAUCCCAUCCUUCUGUGAGGGACAUACUUUUCAGAUGAGAAACGUAAGCUCCGCGAAGCUAAGGGGCCGGACUGAGGUCCCACAGCGAGAGUGUGGAGGAGCCAGGAUCCGAACCCCAUCGCCAGCCCUUGCCAGUUCCAUGAUUCCGGUGCCAGCGCUCGCCUGACCUCCAGGGCUGUCAUGGUGGGAAGGGACUGGAGGGCAUCUGCUGGGCAAAGGAAAGAGACAAACAUCAUCCCAGAGCCUGUCUUCCCUGGGCAAUACCCGGGCCACUCCAGACAUGGCGUCUUUAGCCCUUCCUUGGUCACUGGCCCCCAGGUGAAGAGAGCAUUUUUCUCUGACUCAAGUUCUUGCCUCUGGAUUUGCCAAGCUCCUAUGACAGUCUUCGCCCUUCUGAAGCUCUCUCAGGCUCCCCUUCCAGAAAUCCCGCAGGUUCCACCGACCUCUCUGAGAGCACAGGCGAGUGGUUGAACGGUGGGCUUUAGAGACGGCGCGGCACCAGAGUCCUGUACUGGCUGUGUGAUCCUGAACCUCCUCACUGAGAUUCUCAUCUGCAAGAUGGAGA
This 3767-nucleotide long non-coding RNA is filed under the name Homo sapiens (human). Its description in RNAcentral is "HSALNT0297600". Lineage: Eukaryota; Metazoa; Chordata; Mammalia; Primates; Hominidae. The record is from RNAcentral.